GCAACUCCGUUGGGGUGCCCGGAAUGCACGGGCUGAGAGGCGAUGCGCCAACCCAUCGAACCUGAUCCGGCUAACACCGGCGUAGGGAACGGACUGACGCACGCC
This is a regulatory RNA element of Roseovarius tolerans, 105 nucleotides long. It matches the Rfam family "TPP riboswitch aptamer (THI element)". From Rfam's summary of the family: Vitamin B(1) in its active form thiamin pyrophosphate (TPP) is an essential coenzyme that is synthesised by coupling of pyrimidine and thiazole moieties in bacteria. The previously detected thiamin-regulatory element, thi box was extended, resulting in a new, highly conserved RNA secondary structure, the THI element, which is widely distributed in eubacteria and also occurs in some archaea. Lineage: Bacteria; Pseudomonadati; Pseudomonadota; Alphaproteobacteria; Rhodobacterales; Roseobacteraceae. The record is from Rfam.